UACGGAGGGUGCAAGCGUUGUCCGGAUUUAUUGGGUUUAAAGGGUGCGUAGGCGGCCUAUUAAGUCAGCGGUGAAAUCCCACGGCUCAACCGUGGAACUGCCGUUGAUACUGGUUGGCUUGAGUUUGGUCGAGGCGGGCGGAACUGGUGGUGUAGCGGUGAAAUGCAUAGAUACCACCAAGAACCCCGAUUGCGAAGGCAGCUCGCUGGGCCAAAACUGACGCUGAGGCACGAAAGCGUGGGGAGCGAACAGG
RNAcentral lists this ribosomal RNA (253 nucleotides) under uncultured prokaryote. RNAcentral describes it as "partial 16S ribosomal RNA". It matches the Rfam family "Bacterial small subunit ribosomal RNA", at positions 524 to 776 of the family's 1533-position model. The record is from RNAcentral.